UCCUGAGGUUGCCUCCUUAAUUUCAAAUGCAUAUAAUAAACUGUGAUAAGCAGGGGAGGGCCUGGUUAGUACUUGGAUGGGAGACCACCUAGGAAGACCAGGUGCUGUAGGUG
RNAcentral lists this ribosomal RNA (113 nucleotides) under Pteropus alecto (black flying fox). The record is from RNAcentral. Lineage: Eukaryota; Metazoa; Chordata; Mammalia; Chiroptera; Pteropodidae.